This 462-nucleotide ribosomal RNA is filed under the name uncultured bacterium. RNAcentral's name for it is "partial 16S ribosomal RNA". It matches the Rfam family "Bacterial small subunit ribosomal RNA", at positions 28 to 507 of the family's 1533-position model. The record is from RNAcentral.
GAUCAACGCUGGCGGCGUGCUUAACACAUGCAAGUCGAACGAAGUUUUUCUUUCGGGAGGAACUUAGUGGCGGACGGGUGAGUAACGCGUGGGUAACCCGCCCUGUACAGGGGGACAACAGCUGGAAACGGCUGCUAAUACCGCAUAAGCCCUUAGCACUGCAUGGUGCAUAGGGAAAAGGAGCAAUCCGGUACAGGAUGGACCCGCGUCUGAUUAGCCAGUUGGCAGGGUAACGGCCUACCAAAGCGACGAUCAGUAGCCGAUCUGAGAGGAUGUACGGCCACAUUGGGACUGAGACACGGCCCAGACUCCUACGGGAGGCAGCAGUGGGGAAUAUUGCACAAUGGAGGAAACUCUGAUGCAGCGACGCCGCGUGAGUGAAGAAGUAUUUCGGUAUGUAAAGCUCUAUCAGCAGGAAAGAAAAUGACGGUACCUGACUAAGAAGCACCGGCUAAAUACGUG